This is a long non-coding RNA of Penaeus monodon (black tiger shrimp), 397 nucleotides long. RefSeq lists it as uncharacterized. The transcript is spliced from 2 exons. The record is from RefSeq and is a predicted model, not a curated record. NCBI's taxonomy places the organism in Eukaryota, Metazoa, Arthropoda, Malacostraca, Decapoda, Penaeidae.
AUACACCUCGAGAACAGCCAUCAGCAAAAGAAAUAACUUAGCUUUCCUAGUGAUAUCUCGACGUCCGUGUUGCAAAGAAGUUGCAAGGAACUCAUUCCGUGACGUAAAAUAUUAAUGAGAAAGUGGAGGAAAAGAGAUUUAUAGAAUAAACUGUUAUUUCGUUUGUGAAUAAUUAAAUGGCUUCUGAUAGGGUGAUUAUGGUGUUAUGGUGAAUGGUGAAUGAAAAUUAAUGAAGUGAUGUAUUGACAAAAGUAGAUUUUUUGGAAAAACAGAAAUAGAGAGAGAAAGAGAGGAAAGGUAGUAAUGAAACUAACAUUAAGUGAUAAGUGAGAAGGGGAAGAGAAAAGAAAAAAAGAGUAAGGGAAUAUUAAAAAAAGAGGUGCAGGAAAGAAGAAGA